UGAAUACGAGACGCUACGGCGUCGAAGCAGUCUAUGUCAGACUUCCAAGAAAAGCUCGCAAUGUCAUAAACAAAUAAUGCCUGUACCAUAACCGACACAGGUGGGUAGGUAGAGUAUACUAAGGGGCGCGAGAUAACUCUCUCUAAGGAACUCGGCAAAAUGACUCCGUAACUUCGGGAGAAGGAGUGCCUUAUUUAUAAGGUUGCAAUAACAAGAUCCAAGCAACUGUUUAUCAAAAACACAGGUCUCCGCUAAGUCGUAAGACGAUGUAUGGGGGCUGACGCCUGCCCAGUGCCAGAAGGUCAAAGAAGUAGGUUAGCAUUCGCGAAGCUGAUAACUGAAGCCCUGGUGAACGGCGGCCGUAACGAUAACGGUCCUAAGGUAGCGAAAUUCCUUGUCGGGUAAGUUCCGACCCGCACGAAAGGCGUAAUGAUUUGGAUACUGUCUCGGAGAGGGGCUCGGUGAAAUAGACUUGUCUGUGAAGAUGCGGACUACCUGCACCUGGACAGAAAGACCCUAUGAAGCUUUACUGUAACUUGAAAUUGAAAUUGGACUUUAUUUGCGCAGCAUAGGUGGGAGGCGUUGAGAGUAUUCUUGCGGGAAUAUUGGAGCCAUCAGUGAGAUACCACUCUUGUAAUGUUAGAUUUCUAACUUCGUAUCAUUAUCUGGUCAAAGAACAGUUUCAGGCGGGCAGUUUGACUGGGGCGGUCGCCUCCCAAACGGUAACGGAGGCGUACAAAGGUUUCCUCUGAACGGGUAGAAAUCGUAUCUAGAGUGUAAAGGCAUAAGGAAGCUUGACUGUGAGACCUACAAGUCGAGCAGGGACGAAAGUCGGUCUUAGUGAUCUGACGGUGCUGAGUGGAAAGGCCGUCACUCAACGGAUAAAAGUUACUCUAAGGAUAACAGGCUGAUCUCCCCCAAGAGUUCACAUCGACGGGGAGGUUUGGCACCUCGAUGUCGGCUCAUCGCAUCCUGGGGCGGUAGUACGUCCCAAGGGUUGGGCUGUUCGCCCAUGAAAGCGGUACGCGAGCUGGGUUCAGAACGUCGUGAGACAGUUCGGUCCAUAUCCGGUGUAGGCGUUAGAAUAUUGAGAGGAGCCUUCUUUAGUACGAGAGGACCGAGAAGGACAUACCUCUGGUGUACCAGUUAUCGUGCCAACGGUAAACGCUGGGUAGCUAUGUAUGGAGAGGAUAACCGCUGAAAGCAUCUAAGUGGGAAGCCCACCUCAAGAUAAG
RNAcentral lists this ribosomal RNA (1235 nucleotides) under metagenome. RNAcentral's name for it is "bacterial LSU rRNA". It matches the Rfam family "Bacterial large subunit ribosomal RNA", at positions 1564 to 2808 of the family's 2925-position model. The record is from RNAcentral.